RNAcentral lists this unclassified non-coding RNA (330 nucleotides) under soil metagenome. RNAcentral's name for it is "partial contains 5.8S ribosomal RNA, internal transcribed spacer 2, and large subunit ribosomal RNA". The stretch from base 1 to 120 matches the Rfam family "5.8S ribosomal RNA", at positions 35 to 154 of the family's 154-position model. The record is from RNAcentral.
GAUGAAGAACGUAGCUAAAUGCGAUAAGUAAUGUGAAUUGCAGAAUUCAGUGAAUCAUCGAAUCUUUGAACGCACAUUGCGCCCCUUGGUAUUCCGGGGGGCAUGCCUGUUCGAGCGUCAUUUCAACCCUCAAGCUUCUGCUUGGUCUUGGGCCGUGCCGGCAACGGCUGGCCUUAAAACUAGUGGCGGUGCCAUCGAGCUCUACGCGUAGUAAUUCUAUCUCGCGUCUGGGCUUCGGUGGACGCUGGCCAGCAACCCCCAAUUUUCUAUGGUUGACCUCGGAUCAGGUAGGGAUACCCGCUGAACUUAAGCAUAUCAAUAAGCGGAGGA